Molecule: ribosomal RNA, 253 nt
Filed under: uncultured bacterium
Lineage: Bacteria
Description: partial 16S ribosomal RNA
Rfam family: Bacterial small subunit ribosomal RNA
Source: RNAcentral
UACGUAGGUGGCAAGCGUUGUCCGGAAUAACUGGGCGUAAAGCGCAUGUAGACGGCAUAGCAAGCCAAGUGUGAAAUUUAGGGGCUUAACCUCUAAACUGCGCUUGGAACUGCUGAGCUUGAGUGCAGGAGAGGCAAGUGGAAUUCCCAGUGUAGCAGUGAAAUGCGUAGAUAUUGGGAGGAACACCAGUGGCGAAGGCGACUUGCUGGACUGCAACUGACGUUGAGAUGCGAAAGCUAGGGGAGCAAACGGG